This 434-nucleotide ribosomal RNA is filed under the name uncultured bacterium. Its description in RNAcentral is "bacterial SSU rRNA". It matches the Rfam family "Bacterial small subunit ribosomal RNA", at positions 29 to 453 of the family's 1533-position model. The record is from RNAcentral.
AAUGAACGCUGGCGGCGCGCCUAAUACAUGCAAGUCGAGCGAGAAGACGUAGCAAUACGUUUGUAAAGCGGCGAACGGGUGAGGAAUACAUGGGUAACCUACCCUAGAGUGGGGAAUAACUAGCCGAAAGGUUAGCUAAUACCGCGUACGCUCCUUGGACUUCGGUUCAGGGAGGAAAGCGAUGCCGAGGGUAUCGCGCUCUUGGAUGGGCUCAUGUCCUAUCAGCUUGNGGUGAGGUAACGGCUCACCAAGGCUUCGACGGGUAGCUGGUCUGAGAGGACGAUCAGCCACACUGGCACUGCGACACGGGCCAGACUCCUACGGGAGGCAGCAGUAAGGAAUAUUGCGCAAUGGGCGAAAAGCCUGACGCAGCGACGCCGCGUGGGGGAUGAAGGUCUUCGGAUUGUAAACCCCUUUCGGGAGGGAAGAUGGAA